AGCUAGUUGGUGGGGUAAGAGCCUACCAAGGCAUCGAUCAGUAGCUGGUCUGAGAGGAUGAUCAGCCACACUGGGACUGAGACACGGCCCAGACUCCUACGGGAGGCAGCAGUGGGGAAUUUUCCGCAAUGGGCGCAAGCCUGACGGAGCAACGCCGCGUGAGGGAUGAAGGCCUCUGGGCUGUAAACCUCUUUUCUCAAGGAAGAAGAACUGACGGUACUUGAGGAAUAAGCCACGGCUAAUUCCGUGCCAGCAGCCGCGGUAAUACGGGAGUGGCAAGCGUUAUCCGGAAUUAUUGGGCGUAAAGCGUCCGCAGGCGGUCUUGAAAGUCUGUUGUUAAAGCGUGGAGCUCAACUCCAUUUCAGCAAUGGAAACUAGAAGACUAGAGUGUGGUAGGGGCAGAGGGAAUUCCCGGUGUAGCGGUGAAAUGCGUAGAUAUCGGGAAGAACACCAGUGGCGAAGGCGCUCUGCUGGGCCAUAACUGACGCUCAUGGACGAAAGCCAGGGGAGCGAAAGGGAUUAGAUACCCCUGUAGUCCUGGCCGUAAACGAUGAACACUAGGUGUCGGGGGAAUCGACCCCCUCGGUGUCGUAGCCAACGCGUUAAGUGUUCCGCCUGGGGAGUACGCACGCAAGUGUGAAACUCAAAGGAAUUGACGGGGGCCCGCACAAGCGGUGGAGUAUGUGGUUUAAUUCGAUGCAACGCGAAGAACCUUACCAGGGUUUGACAUCCUGCGAAUCUUUUGGAAACAGAAGAGUGCCUUCGGGAGCGCAGAGACAGGUGGUGCAUGGCUGUCGUCAGCUCGUGUCGUGAGAUGUUGGGUUAAGUCCCGCAACGAGCGCAACCCACGUCUUUAGUUGCCAGCAUUGAGUUGGGCACUCUAGAGAGACCGCCGGUGAUAAACCGGAGGAAGGUGUGGAUGACGUCAAGUCAUCAUGCCCCUUACAUCCUGGGCUACACACGUACUACAAUGCUACGGACAGAGGGCAGCAAACUCGCGAGAGCUAGCAAAUCCCAUAAACCGUGGCUCAGUUCAGAUCGUAGGCUGCAACUCGCCUACGUGAAGGAGGAAUCGCUAGUAAUCGCAGGUCAGCAUACUGCGGUGAAUACGUUCCCGGGCCUUGUACACACCGCCCGUCACACCAUGGAAGUUGGCCAUGCCCGAAGUCGUUACUCCAACCCUUGUGGAGGAGGACGCCGAAGGUGGGGCUGAUGACUGGGGUGAAGUCGAAACAAGGUAGCCGUACCGGAAGGUGCGGCUG
This 1262-nucleotide ribosomal RNA is filed under the name metagenome. Its description in RNAcentral is "bacterial SSU rRNA". It matches the Rfam family "Bacterial small subunit ribosomal RNA", at positions 243 to 1520 of the family's 1533-position model. The record is from RNAcentral.